UGCAAGAUUAUAAUUCCCAACUCAAGGAAUUGACUCAGCAGUAUAGCCAGAAAAAUCAGCAGCAUCAGCAGAUUUUGCAUUCAAUUUCACAGCUAAGUGGAGGCCAUUCUCAACAACCAGCACAGCAGAUGAGACCUCUCUUACAAGACCUUGGAAAUCAACAAGUUUCAUUUGCAAAUUUGAUUGAUGGUGAUAUUUGUUCUGAACGAGUUAUGCAGUAUCUAUAUCACCUGCGGAACCGACCAAAUGUCAGUUACUUUCUCUUGACAAAAAGUUGUGCUUUAUCUUCCAUUUUAAAUUUCAAUUUAUAUUAGGCACUUGUCAGCAACAUGUCUUUUUUUUUUAACUAGCACAAGCUGCAGGUUCUACAGAUCUGUCCAAGUUGAAAUUGCAAACUUGUCAAGUUUCGCAUGCUGUAAAAAUUAAACAGGAGCCUGAUAUUAUUACUCAAAUGCUGAAAAAACCAAGAUUUGAUGUCAACCAAGAGGACAUCGAGCAGCAGCAAAUUAUUAAACAAUUCUUGUUGAGGCAGCAACUCAUGCAGGUGCAAGAUUAUAAUUCCCAACUCAAGGAAUUGACUCAGCAGUAUAGCCAGAAAAAUCAGCAGCAUCAGCAGAUUUUGCAUUCAAUUUCACAGCUAAGUGGAGGCCAUUCUCAACAACCAGCACAGCAGAUGAGACCUCUCUUACAAGACCUUGGAAAUCAACAAGUUUCAUUUGCAAAUUUGAUUGAUGGUGAUAUUUGUUCUGAACGAGUUAUGCAGUAUCUAUAUCACCUGCGGAACCGACC
RNAcentral lists this long non-coding RNA (789 nucleotides) under Olea europaea (common olive). RNAcentral describes it as "long non-coding RNA (OEUR_LNC015430)". The record is from RNAcentral. Lineage: Eukaryota; Viridiplantae; Streptophyta; Magnoliopsida; Lamiales; Oleaceae.